RNAcentral lists this ribosomal RNA (395 nucleotides) under uncultured Glomeromycotina. RNAcentral's name for it is "SSU rRNA". It matches the Rfam family "Eukaryotic small subunit ribosomal RNA", at positions 569 to 967 of the family's 1831-position model. Lineage: Eukaryota; Fungi; Glomeromycota. The record is from RNAcentral.
AGCAGCCGCGGUAAUUCCAGCUCCAAUAGCGUAUAUUAAAGUUGUUGCAGUUAAAAAAGCUCGUAGUUGAAUUUCGGGACCAAUAUGUUGGUCGUGCUUCGGUACGUACUUGCAUUAUUGGUUUCUCCCUUCUGAAGAACCAUGAUGUCAUUAAUUUGGUGUCUUGGGGAAUCAGGACUGUUACUUUGAAAAAAUUAGAGUGUUUAAAGCAGGCUCACGCUUGAAUACAUUAGCAUGGAAUAAUGAAAUAGGACGUUUGAUUCUAUUUUGUUGGUUUUCUAGGAUCGACGUAAUGAUUAAUAGGGAUAGUUGGGGGCAUUAGUAUUCAAUUGUCAGAGGUGAAAUUCUUGGAUUUAUUGAAGACUAACUACUGCGAAAGCAUUUGCCAAGGAUGU